Molecule: ribosomal RNA, 541 nt
Filed under: Acinetobacter radioresistens WC-A-157
Lineage: Bacteria; Pseudomonadati; Pseudomonadota; Gammaproteobacteria; Moraxellales; Moraxellaceae
Description: bacterial SSU rRNA
Rfam family: Bacterial small subunit ribosomal RNA
Source: RNAcentral
CUUAGGAAUCUGCCUAUUAGUGGGGGACAACGUUCCGAAAGGAGCGCUAAUACCGCAUACGUCCUACGGGAGAAAGCAGGGGACCUUCGGGCCUUGCGCUAAUAGAUGAGCCUAAGUCGGAUUAGCUAGUUGGUAGGGUAAAGGCCUACCAAGGCGACGAUCUGUAGCGGGUCUGAGAGGAUGAUCCGCCACACUGGGACUGAGACACGGCCCAGACUCCUACGGGAGGCAGCAGUGGGGAAUAUUGGACAAUGGGGGGAACCCUGAUCCAGCCAUGCCGCGUGUGUGAAGAAGGCCUUUUGGUUGUAAAGCACUUUAAGCGAGGAGGAGGCUACCUAGAUUAAUACUUUAGGAUAGUGGACGUUACUCGCAGAAUAAGCACCGGCUAACUCUGUGCCAGCAGCCGCGGUAAUACAGAGGGUGCGAGCGUUAAUCGGAUUUACUGGGCGUAAAGCGUGCGUAGGCGGCCAAUUAAGUCAAAUGUGAAAUCCCCGAGCUUAACUUGGGAAUUGCAUUCGAUACUGGUUGGCUAGAGUAUGGG